Choloepus didactylus (southern two-toed sloth) is the source of this 466-nucleotide long non-coding RNA. RefSeq lists it as uncharacterized. The transcript is spliced from 3 exons. The record is from RefSeq and is a predicted model, not a curated record. Lineage: Eukaryota; Metazoa; Chordata; Mammalia; Pilosa; Megalonychidae.
AACUCAACCACAGAAUGAGAGUGAAGAGUAGAAUGUAAAAUCUUGGGAGGGUAUCAUGAGGUCACCCAUGCCCUGAACAACCAGUGUGGUCCUCGGACCAGUGGCUGCAGCAGCACCUGGGAGCCUGUUAGAUCUGCAGACCCUCCAGCCCUAUCCCAGACCUACUGAAUCCAACUCUGCAGUUUAGCAAGAUCCCCAGGAGAGUGUGACCCGGGAGUGAGGCCCCAGCCAGCGGCACAACAUUUACAUUGUGAGAGGCGACGUGACAUGGGGAAAGAACACCGAAUACAAGGCCAGACACCUGGAUGUGCGUUCUGAUUUGGCCACGUUUUUGUCCUGGGGCCUCUGAAGAAGCAUCUGGGACUUGCUCACCAAGGAGACACCCGACUCUGGUCACUCCGUGGAUGCUCAUCAUUCCCUCAUUUGCCAUCUCAACUGCUAAAACCAUCUCCCGCUCAUCUACCUG